UUUUCCACCUUCUCAUU
Molecule: small RNA, 17 nt
Filed under: Arabidopsis thaliana (thale cress)
Lineage: Eukaryota; Viridiplantae; Streptophyta; Magnoliopsida; Brassicales; Brassicaceae
Description: ATSL075580
Source: RNAcentral